CGGGCAACAAGGGUCAGCCGGCAUCGCCGCAAUCUCGAAUUCGCGCUCGCAAGCCACUCGACCGCCUUCCUCCACCCCGCCCACGCC
This 87-nucleotide unclassified non-coding RNA is filed under the name Rhodotorula toruloides. The record is from RNAcentral. Lineage: Eukaryota; Fungi; Basidiomycota; Microbotryomycetes; Sporidiobolales; Sporidiobolaceae.